This 223-nucleotide long non-coding RNA is filed under the name Setaria viridis. RNAcentral describes it as "long non-coding RNA (SVIR_LNC003541)". The record is from RNAcentral. Lineage: Eukaryota; Viridiplantae; Streptophyta; Magnoliopsida; Poales; Poaceae.
CGCCUAAAUCUAUCAUUUCUAAUGAAUCGGCCGACGUGAACCCGUGUCCUAGCUUUCCAUCUUCCCGGGCGAACUGAUCCAUUUAGUUCGAAUCUUCGGAGCCGACUGCUCGGAUCGGCUGUAGGCCAAAAUCGGACACCUUCAGGAAAUCAGUGUCCCAUAUCCUCCCGGAUAUGCACUUGACAUUCUCGCAGCUCCAUUGCUGCGUAUCGGCUGCCGCGAC